This 54-nucleotide ribosomal RNA is filed under the name Ascomycota sp. Da_Gry_H4. RNAcentral describes it as "partial 28S ribosomal RNA". Lineage: Eukaryota; Fungi; Ascomycota. The record is from RNAcentral.
GGUUGACCUCGGAUCAGGUAGGAUACCCGCUGAACUUAAGCAUAUCAAUAAGCG